Long non-coding RNA from Rhagoletis pomonella (apple maggot), 505 nucleotides. RefSeq lists it as uncharacterized. Lineage: Eukaryota; Metazoa; Arthropoda; Insecta; Diptera; Tephritidae. The record is from RefSeq and is a predicted model, not a curated record. The transcript is spliced from 3 exons.
UUCUAAACGCAAAACUUGAGUUCUUUGGAAUUUGUUUAGAGUCGUGGGUGAACUCGUUAAAGUCGUACUUUAACAAAUUUACAGCCUGUGUUGCUUUCUUUUUUGAUUUAUAGAGACUACUACUAAAAGACAAGGAGAAAUAUUGUCUUCGUAUAAAAAGUUCAACAGGCAACACUGCCGAUAGUUUCAUCGAUCGUUUCGCGGAAAUUGAUUUUCUUAUUGCGCAAAUUCAAAGUAUCGGAGUUAUACGAAAGGCUGCGUUUUACAGCAAGUGCAGCCGUUGCCAAUAAGUUUUGCGUGCUAGGAUCUCUGUUUGUCCGUUCACGUCUGGCUGGUGCAGUCCACUGGGAAUUACAGCUGCACCGAUUUAUUUGGCGAAGUGCAGCGGUUACAUAUGUACUUACAAGUCAGGAUCACUUUGUGUGUCCGUCCACCAAAUGUAAUUCAAUUUAAGAUAUUGAACAUGUAAUUUUUAAAUGCAACAAAUAUAAUAAUUUUUUAAAAA